This 484-nucleotide ribosomal RNA is filed under the name uncultured bacterium. Its description in RNAcentral is "partial 16S ribosomal RNA". It matches the Rfam family "Bacterial small subunit ribosomal RNA", at positions 30 to 507 of the family's 1533-position model. The record is from RNAcentral.
AUUGAACGCUGGCGGCAGGCCUAACACAUGCAAGUCGAGCGGCUGCGUGGAGCUUGCUCCCUGUUUCAGCGGCGGACGGGUGGGUAAUUCCUAGGAAUCUCCCUGUUUGUUGGUUACAACGUUUCGACAUGAACGCUCAUACCGCAUACGUCCUUCGGGAGUACGUGUGGGAUCUUCGGACCUUCCGCUCUCAGAUGAUCCUAGGUCGGAUUAGCUAGUUGGUGAGGUAAAGGCUCACCAAGGCGACGAUCCGUAACUGGUCUGAGAGGAUGAUCAGUCACACUGGAACUGAGACACGGUCCAGACUCCUACGGGAGGCAGCAGUGGGGAAUAUUGGACAAUGGGCGAAAGCCUGAUCCAGCCAUGCCGCGUGGGUGAAGAAGGUCUUCGGAUUGUAAAGCACUUUAGGUGGGGAGGAAGGGCAGUAAGUUAAUACCUUGCUGUUUUGACGGUACCAACAGAAUAAGCACCGGCUAACUUCGUG